GACGAACGCUGGCGGCGUGCCUAAUGCAUGCAAGUCGAGCGAAGUUUUUCUGGUGCUUGCACCGGAAAAACUUAGCGGCGAACGGGUGAGUAACACGUAAAGAACCUGCCUCAUAGACUGGGACAACUAUUGGAAACGAUAGCUAAUACCGGAUAAUAGCAUUAACUGCAUGGUUGAUGUUUAAAAGUUGGUUUUGCUAACACUAUGAGAUGGCUUUGCGGUGCAUUAGCUAGUUGGUGGGGUAAAGGCCUACCAAGGCGACGAUGCAUAGCCGACCUGAGAGAGUGAUCGGCCACACUGGGACUGAGACACGGCCCAGACUCCUACGGGAGGCAGCAGUAGGGAAUCUUCCGCAAUGGGCGAAAGCCUGACGGAGCAACGCCGCGUGAGUGAAGAAGGAUUUCGGUUCGUAAAGCUCUGUUGUUAGGGAAGAAUGAUUGUGUAGUAACGAUACACAGUAGAGACGGUACCUAACCAGAAAGCCACGGCUAACUACGUG
This 499-nucleotide ribosomal RNA is filed under the name uncultured bacterium. Its description in RNAcentral is "partial 16S ribosomal RNA". It matches the Rfam family "Bacterial small subunit ribosomal RNA", at positions 28 to 507 of the family's 1533-position model. The record is from RNAcentral.